This 89-nucleotide non-coding RNA is filed under the name Acidovorax temperans. Its description in RNAcentral is "Glycine sequence". It matches the Rfam family "Glycine riboswitch aptamer". Rfam says of the family: This family represents the bacterial glycine riboswitch. Glycine riboswitches usually consist of two metabolite-binding aptamers domains with similar structures in tandem. The aptamers cooperatively bind glycine to regulate the expression of downstream genes. The record is from Rfam by way of RNAcentral. Lineage: Bacteria; Pseudomonadati; Pseudomonadota; Betaproteobacteria; Burkholderiales; Comamonadaceae.
UCGCACGAACCGGGAGAGACCGCGCAUGUCGCGGCGCCGAAGGAGCAACCGCCCCGGAAACUCUCAGGCAAAAGGACCGGUUCGCUGCA